AACGAACGCUGGCGGCGCGUCUUAAGCAUGCAAGUCGAACGGCAAGAGAAGAGCUUGCUCUUCUCCUAGAGUGGCGGACUGGUGAGUAACACGUGGGUGAUCUACCCUUGAGAUGGGGAUAGCCGUUAGAAAUAGCGGGUAAUACCGAAUACACUCAUUUUCAUAAAGGGAGGUGAGGAAAGGAAGCUAUGGCUUCGCUCGAGGAUGAGCUUGCGUCCCAUUAGCUAGUUGGUGAGGUAAGAGCCCACCAAGGCGACGAUGGGUAUCCGGCCUGAGAGGGUGAACGGACACAUUGGGACUGAGAUACGGCCCAAACUCCUACGGGAGGCAGCAGCUAAGAAUAUUCCGCAAUGGACGGAAGUCUGACGGAGCGACGCCGCGUGGAUGAAGAAGGCUGAAAAGUUGUAAAAUCCUUUUGCUGAUGAAGAAUAAGGGUAGGAGGGAAUGCCUAUCUGAUGACGGUAAUCG
Molecule: ribosomal RNA, 468 nt
Filed under: Treponema sp. oral taxon 239
Lineage: Bacteria; Pseudomonadati; Spirochaetota; Spirochaetia; Treponematales; Treponemataceae
Description: bacterial SSU rRNA
Rfam family: Bacterial small subunit ribosomal RNA
Source: RNAcentral